GACGAACGCUGGCGGCGUGCUUAACACAUGCAAGUCGAACGCUGAAGGCCCAGCUUGCUGGGUUGGAUGAGUGGCGAACGGGUGAGUAACACGUGAGUAACCUGCCCUCUUCUUUGGGAUAACGGUCGGAAACGGCUGCUAAUACCGGGUAUUCACUGUCCUUCGCAUGGGGGGUGGUGGAAAGGUUUUUUCUGGUGGGGGAUGGGCUCGCGGCCUAUCAGCUUGUUGGUGGGGUGAUGGCUUACCAAGGCUUUGACGGGUAACCGGCCUGAGAGGGUGACCGGUCACAUUGGGACUGAGAUACGGCCCAGACUCCUACGGGAGGCAGCAGUGGGGAAUAUUGCACAAUGGGCGAAAGCCUGAUGCAGCGACGCCGCGUGAGGGAUGGAGGCCUUCGGGUUGUAAACCUCUUUCGCUCAUGGUCAAGCCGCAACAGUGGUUGUGGUGAGGGUAGUGGGUAAAGAAGCACCGGCUAACUACGUGCCAGCAGCCGCGGUAAUACGUAGGGUGCGAGCGUUGUCCGGAAUUAUUGGGCGUAAAGGGCUUGUAGGCGGUUUGUCGCGUCUGCCGUGAAAUCCUCUGGCUUAACUGGGGGCGUGCGGUGGGUACGGGCAGGCUUGAGUGCGGUAGGGGAGACUGGAACUCCUGGUGUAGCGGUGGAAUGCGCAGAUAUCAGGAAGAACACCGGUGGCGAAGGCGGGUCUCUGGGCCGUUACUGACGCUGAGGAGCGAAAGCGUGGGGAGCGAACAGG
This 752-nucleotide ribosomal RNA is filed under the name uncultured Actinomyces sp. Its description in RNAcentral is "bacterial SSU rRNA". It matches the Rfam family "Bacterial small subunit ribosomal RNA", at positions 28 to 776 of the family's 1533-position model. Lineage: Bacteria; Bacillati; Actinomycetota; Actinomycetes; Actinomycetales; Actinomycetaceae. The record is from RNAcentral.